GUUUUGACGUCUAUCAUAUUGUUCUCUAUCCUAACCUCAUUUGUGACUUCAAAUACGUUUAAUAUUGAAGAUGAAAUUCGAAAAUUUGAUGUUCAACGUCCAAAAAGUAUAGAUUUGGAGCAAGAUUCAAAGUUUGAGGUUAUAGAUCUUAAAGAUGAAGUUGUAUCAACAACACUAGUUGCAUAUAAUCAAAAAGAUGUAAUUACAACUGAAAUGGUACCCACAACUCCAGAGAAUACAUUUAUAUCUUUGCAAAAUCACAUUUUAAGUAUUAAAAAUGUGAUUGUUAAUUCAAUCUUACCAAUUACAAUGAUGAUACCGUUUUUAUCAGUUUCUAACUUGUUGUGGUUAUUGGUAAUGUUACUGUUGCCGAUUAUCAAGAAAAACAGUGAAUCUGGAUGGUUUUUUGUUUAAUUUUUUGAAUAAUUUUUAUUUUAAACUUAUUUAGGUUAAAUUUUUUAAUUAAAUAUAUGUAUAACUUUCGCCAAAAAUAAAAUUGCUUGAAUUAUGA
Long non-coding RNA from Dalotia coriaria, 511 nucleotides. RefSeq lists it as uncharacterized. The record is from RefSeq and is a predicted model, not a curated record. The transcript has 2 exons. NCBI's taxonomy places the organism in Eukaryota, Metazoa, Arthropoda, Insecta, Coleoptera, Staphylinidae.